Molecule: long non-coding RNA, 591 nt
Filed under: Nicotiana benthamiana
Lineage: Eukaryota; Viridiplantae; Streptophyta; Magnoliopsida; Solanales; Solanaceae
Description: long non-coding RNA (NBEN_LNC024503)
Source: RNAcentral
GCCUUACAGAAGAAGAAGAAAAGGCACCCAUCGUCCCUGACAUCUCAUUCUUUUGACAUGAAGCUUGAGCUAAAAUUUGAAUGAAACAUAAAUAGAUUUUCAAGAAUAAGAGGACUCGGGUUGAUCGAUUACCAGAAUAUUAAGGCUCGGAUAGUUUUAUCAGACAAAUAGAAGGCAACCAUAUCAUGUCUGCAAAAUCACCUGUGGGUUGUCUCAAUGCUUAACUUUGUCAGCAUAGAAAUUGAAAAUCAUCAUGCCUCUAUUACUCAAAAGCGGAAGAUGAAACGUGCCACACAGACCCAAGUUUAUGGCUGAAGCUGCGGAUCGAAAACAUAUGAACAUUAUGCCUAUUUUUACAUUAACAUAGUGACCUAUUCAAAAUAUUCAUGAACAUGAGUUGUUGAUUUGGACAACAGGGGUUGCUCUGAUGGUAAGCAAUCCCCACUUCCAACCAAGAGGUGUGAGUUCGAGUCUCCCCAAGAGCAAGGUGAGAAGUUCUUGGACGGAAGGAUGCUGGAGGUCUAUUUGGUAACAGUCUCUCUAACCGAGGUAGGGUAAGGUCUGCCCUCCACAGAUCCUAUUAAGUGUGAU